Molecule: long non-coding RNA, 628 nt
Organism: Neoarius graeffei (lesser salmon catfish)
Lineage: Eukaryota; Metazoa; Chordata; Actinopteri; Siluriformes; Ariidae
Exons: 3
Source: RefSeq, a predicted model, not a curated record
ACCCCUCUCUUUAUUACCUCCAAUCAUUUUUCACAUACACAAGUGUCUAAGCGUGCAUGUAUUGGUGCGCUUUCAAAAAAUAAAAUAAAUAGGCAUUCACCUACACAUGUUGCUGACAGUACUUGUGGUGUUUAUGUACUUAUGUUCACUACUAAAUUGUAAGCGAGAAAGGAAGAGUGUAUUAAUUUCUACCACUCACCACUGAAUUCAGGUUUCCUUGUGGUGCAUCCUUCUAGCGGCUUUUGCAGAUUUUCAUCUCAGUGGCCUGUCUGUGACUUUAGCUGCUCUGCUACGAUACCACUUCACGGCUUGUGAUCAUAGACGACAUAUAUUUUGAGGAAUAUUAUCAAGGCGUGAUCAUGAACAACUCAUCAAUGUCGAUGGUAGACAAUUAUUCGUAAUAUUAUAACCCGAUUCCCAAUGACUACCGGUACGGUAUAACAGACAUUCUUCUUCAUGUUAAUCAUGAUGGCCUGAUGAUCAGCAUCUCCCUCGUCGCUGGUGUGUGUGUAAGCCUGCCACUUUUCAUUUGGGCUUUUCUUGUUCUUUACACUCUCCACAAACAAGGAGGCCAAAUUUCAACCUUCAUCAUCCUCCUCAUCAUCAAUGACUUGGCUGAGCUGCUCCU